Long non-coding RNA from Thalassophryne amazonica, 133 nucleotides. RefSeq lists it as uncharacterized. The transcript has 3 exons. The record is from RefSeq and is a predicted model, not a curated record. Lineage: Eukaryota; Metazoa; Chordata; Actinopteri; Batrachoidiformes; Batrachoididae.
CAACUCUCUCAUGUUGUCUGUUUAAAAUUCAUCUUACCAGCAGGAACCACCACAGGAGGUCUUGGGGCCAUAAUGUGGGGCGCGGCCGGCGGCAUGGGCACCACAUUAAUGCGGGGAGCAGGAAUCAUGGGAG